CCAUGCGAGUCGAGAGGGGUCAAGCCCUCGGCGCGACUGCUCAGNUAACACGCUGGACAACCUGGCCCUCUAGGACGGGGGAUAACCCUCGGGGAAACUGGAGAAUAAUACCCGAUAGAUCUGGGAUGAUGGAAGGCUCCCAGGUCCAAUCCUGCGGGGCUCGAGGAUGGGUCUGCGGCCUAUCAGGUAGUAGGGGGUUAUACAGACCCCCUACCCGAAGACGGGUACGGGCUUUGGGACAAGUCGCCCGGAAAUGGAUUCUGAAACACAAAUCCAGGUCCUACGGGACGCAGCAGGCGCGAAACCUCCACAAUGUGGGAAACCACGAUGGGGGAAUCUCCAGUGCCUACACUUAUGUCUAGGCUGUUCUCUAGCCCUAAAAGCUCGAGAAAGUAGGGCCGGGUANGACGGGUGCCAGCCGCCCGCGGUAA
Molecule: ribosomal RNA, 431 nt
Filed under: uncultured archaeon
Lineage: Archaea
Description: bacterial SSU rRNA
Rfam family: Archaeal small subunit ribosomal RNA
Source: RNAcentral